This 426-nucleotide ribosomal RNA is filed under the name uncultured Iamia sp. RNAcentral describes it as "bacterial SSU rRNA". It matches the Rfam family "Bacterial small subunit ribosomal RNA", at positions 354 to 796 of the family's 1533-position model. Lineage: Bacteria; Bacillati; Actinomycetota; Acidimicrobiia; Acidimicrobiales; Iamiaceae. The record is from RNAcentral.
GUAGGGAAUCUUGCGCAAUGGGCGAAAGCCUGACGCAGCAACGCCGCGUGGGGGAUGAAGGCCCUCGGGUCGUAAACCCCUUUCAGCAGGGACGAAAAUGACGGUACCUGCAGAAGAAGCGCCGGCCAACUACGUGCCAGCAGCCGCGGUAACACGUAGGGCGCAAGCGUUGUCCGGAUUCAUUGGGCGUAAAGAGCUCGUAGGCGGUUUUGUAAGUCGGGUGUGAAAACUCAGGGCUCAACCCUGAGACGCCACCCGAUACUGCAAUGACUCGAGUCCGGUAGGGGAGCAUGGAAUUCCUGGUGUAGCGGUGAAAUGCGCAGAUAUCAGGAGGAACACCAGUAGCGAAGGCGGUGCUCUGGGCCGGUACUGACGCUGAGGAGCGAAAGCGUGGGGAGCGAACAGGAUUAGAAACCCUGGUAGUCC